RNAcentral lists this ribosomal RNA (496 nucleotides) under uncultured bacterium. RNAcentral's name for it is "partial 16S ribosomal RNA". It matches the Rfam family "Bacterial small subunit ribosomal RNA", at positions 28 to 507 of the family's 1533-position model. The record is from RNAcentral.
GAUGAACGCUGGCGGCGUGCCUAUACAUGCAAGUCGAGCGAACAGACGAGGAGCUUGCUCCUCUGACGUUAGCGGCGGACGGGUGAGUAACACGUGGAUAACCUACCUAUAAGACUGGGAUAACUUCGGGAAACCGGAGCUAAUACCGGAUAAUAUUUUGAACCGCAUGGUUCAAUAGUGAAAGACGGUUUUGCUGUCACUUAUAGAUGGAUCCGCGCCGCAUUAGCUAGUUGGUAAGGUAACGGCUUACCAAGGCAACGAUGCGUAGCCGACCUGAGAGGGUGAUCGGCCACACUGGAACUGAGACACGGUCCAGACUCCUACGGGAGGCAGCAGUAGGGAAUCUUCCGCAAUGGGCGAAAGCCUGACGGAGCAACGCCGCGUGAGUGAUGAAGGUCUUCGGAUCGUAAAACUCUGUUAUUAGGGAAGAACAAAUGUGUAAGUAACUAUGCACGUCUUGACGGUACCUAAUCAGAAAGCCACGGCUAACUACGUG